Molecule: ribosomal RNA, 468 nt
Filed under: uncultured bacterium
Lineage: Bacteria
Description: partial 16S ribosomal RNA
Rfam family: Bacterial small subunit ribosomal RNA
Source: RNAcentral
GACGAACGCUGGCGGCGUGCUUAACACAUGCAAGUCGAACGGAAAGGCCCUGCUUUUGUGGGGUGCUCGAGUGGCGAACGGGUGAGUAACACGUGAGUAACCUGCCCUUGACUUUGGGAUAACUUCAGGAAACUGGGGCUAAUACCGGAUAGGAGCUCCUGCUGCAUGGUGGGGGUUGGAAAGUUUCGGCGGUUGGGGAUGGACUCGCGGCUUAUCAGCUUGUUGGUGGGGUAGUGGCUUACCAAGGCUUUGACGGGUAGCCGGCCUGAGAGGGUGACCGGCCACAUUGGGACUGAGAUACGGCCCAGAGUCCUACGGGAGGCAGCAGUGGGGAAUAUUGCACGAUGGGCGGAAGCCUGAUGCAGCAACGCCGCGUGCGGGAUGACGGCCUUCGGGUUGUAAACCGCGUUCGCCUGUGACGAAGCGUGAGUGACGGUAAUGGGUAAAGAAGCACCGGCUAACUACGUG